GUGGCGGCGUGCUUAACACAUGCAAGUCGAACGAUGAUCUCCAGCUUGCUGGGGGGAUUAGUGGCGAACGGGUGAGUAACACGUGAGUAACCUGCCCUUGACUCUGGGAUAAGCCUGGGAAACUGGGUCUAAUACCGGAUACGACCGCUCCACGCAUGUGGUGGUGGUGGAAAGCUUUUGCGGUUUUGGAUGGACUCGCGGCCUAUCAGCUUGUUGGUGGGGUAAUGGCCUACCAAGGCGACGACGGGUAGCCGGCCUGAGAGGGUGACCGGCCACACUGGGACUGAGACACGGCCCAGACUCCUACGGGAGGCAGCAGUGGGGAAUAUUGCACAAUGGGCGAAAGCCUGAUGCAGCGACGCCGCGUGAGGGAUGACGGCCUUCGGGUUGUAAACCUCUUUCAGUAGGGAAGAAGCGAAAGUGACGGUACCUGCAGAAGAAGCGCCGGCUAACUACGUGCCAGCAGCCGCGGUAAUACGUAGGGCGCAAGCGUUAUCCGGAAUUAUUGGGCGUAAAGAGCUCGUAGGCGGUUUGUCGCGUCUGCUGUGAAAGACCGGGGCUCAACUCCGGUUCUGCAGUGGGUACGGGCAGACUAGAGUGAUGUAGGGGAGACUGGAAUUCCUGGUGUAGCGGUGAAAUGCGCAGAUAUCAGGAGGAACACCGAUGGCGAAGGCAGGUCUCUGGGCAUUAACUGACGCUGAGGAGCGAAAGCAUGGGGAGCGAACAGGAUUAGAUACCCUGGUAGUCCAUGCCGUAAACGUUGGGCACUAGGUGUGGGGGACAUUCCACGUUUUCCGCGCCGUAGCUAACGCAUUAAGUGCCCCGCCUGGGGAGUACGGCCGCAAGGCUAAAACUCAAAGGAAUUGACGGGGGCCCGCACAAGCGGCGGAGCAUGCGGAUUAAUUCGAUGCAACGCGAAGAACCUUACCAAGGCUUGACAUGAACCGGUAACGCCUGGAAACAGGUGCCC
This 970-nucleotide ribosomal RNA is filed under the name Arthrobacter gyeryongensis. RNAcentral's name for it is "bacterial SSU rRNA". It matches the Rfam family "Bacterial small subunit ribosomal RNA", at positions 36 to 1015 of the family's 1533-position model. Lineage: Bacteria; Bacillati; Actinomycetota; Actinomycetes; Micrococcales; Micrococcaceae. The record is from RNAcentral.